This 216-nucleotide ribosomal RNA is filed under the name Campeiostachys nutans. RNAcentral describes it as "Elymus nutans partial small subunit ribosomal RNA". The stretch from base 40 to 216 matches the Rfam family "Eukaryotic small subunit ribosomal RNA", at positions 686 to 864 of the family's 1831-position model. The record is from RNAcentral. Lineage: Eukaryota; Viridiplantae; Streptophyta; Magnoliopsida; Poales; Poaceae.
GGGUUAGUAGGUUGGUCAUGCCUCUGGUAUGUACUGGUCUCACUGAUUCCUCCUUCCUGAUGAGCCGUAAUGCCAUUAAUUUGGUGUUGCGGGGAAUUUGGACUGUUACUUUGAAAAAAUUAGAGUGCUUAAAGCAGGCCAGUGCCUGAAUAGGUUAGCAUGGAAUAAUAAAAUAGGACGUCCGAUCCUAUUUUGUUGGUUUCUAGGAUUGACGUA